AUGGAACUAGUUUUUUGGAGUGCAGAUCGAAGGUGCUGCAAGACCAGCUUCAUCAAGGGACGAACGCAAGAAACAAAGACAAAGAUGAGGAGAUUGUAGCGGUAUAUAUUACAGAGAAUUCUUCUAUGCUAUCACCUCAAUUUCCCUGAAAAGGUACUAUUUGUAUGUCGCUUCUAAUAAAAUUGCUUUGACACACACAGCUUAGAAGUUUGCCCUUGGAAUCCAGGAACUGAAGUCCAUCAGUCACAAUUAAAAACAACACAAGCAGUGUUUCUACCGGACUGGCUUGUGGCACUGCAAAAGUUAAGAUUUGAGGAAGGAUGGCAAGCGUGCUUGGAGUGGGUGGAUGGUUUCUUCCUUUUUCUCCUCCUCCUCCUGUUGCUUUGAUUCUCUGGCUGGCCGAGUUCAUUUGCAUGACUGUUUCAUGCUUCUGUCAGCAUACGCUCACGUCUGCGAUAAUUUAAUGCCACCGCUGGAUGAAUUGACAACGUGCUAUCAGUAUAGGAAAGUAUUUAAUACUGCUGGCCGCUCGCUGCCGUGUUAUCAUAAGGCGGGUUGGCAGCAUGCCUGGGAGCUCUCACCACUGGAAAAGUCUGAUCGUUUAAUAAACAUAAAUAAAUAUGGAGUUCCAUUAAGCUGGAAGGAAUAAAGGUUUAUUGGCUGGUUUAAAGAGCCUGGACAGGUCAUUUCCACAUCACUUCGGAUUUUAGCCUGCUAGCCCUUGGGACUUCACCGAGAGCUGAAACUUACCCUUUGGCUACUGCCCUGCACAUUUUCGGUCUGACCUAAUGAUUCUCUGUGGCUGCAGAAAGCACCAUGUGCACAUCACAGAGAGAUAAGGAAAAGAGCAUUAGAGCGACACCGCAUGCACUUCUGUACUAAAGGGCAGCUUGUGGUCAUGCAAAUCUGCCUGUCUGUUAAGAUCAUAAUCUGAAAGUUUUUCCAGGUGACCCUGCCGUCCAAGGUCAGGUGGGUGGUGACUGAGUGGACUGAUUGGUUGUGCUGCCUCAUCUCAAUCAGGGGUGGGGGACGUGUGGUCUUCCAAAUGCUGCUAGACUACAAAUCCCAUCGUCUUUAAUAUUUGGCUGUGCUGGGUGGUGCUGAUGGAAGCCUAACAAGAUACAGAGGGGCACAGGUUCCUCAGACGUGUCCUAAAUGCCUUCCCUGCUUUCAUCUGCUGAUGAACCUCAUUUCCCUAGGAAUUUUUAUUUUCAUCAUCUUACUGCUGGGUUUUGUUGUUGCUGUUGGCACCUGUCUGUCUCGAGAGACAAUGGAGUGAAGUCAGACUGCUGGGGAAUCACAGCACCUGCUGUGACUGCAGGGACCAGUAAAACUGCAGUAAAGCAUUAAAAUAUUUUAUUUCAUCAAAUAAACUUUAUGUAUGUUGCACUAUUUGUAUUUAGGUUCUUGCUGUUUGACGUACAAUUCCUUGCUCUCCCCACACUUUCUAUGCACGCUUACACCCUAAAACACCCACAGAAUCUACAGCGGAGCUCUUAUGACCAGGAAACCAAAUAACGUAAACUAAGCCAUAACGAGAGAUCUAUUUAAAAACCGAAGUUUCGCCCACCCGCCCCACCCAAUAAUUUUUGUUGAUUUUUCUUUCUUUCUUUCUACAGAACAUCCCUCCUCAGGGCCCGACAACAGACAUACAGCAGGUUGCUGUUACCAAAACCUACAGCAGAAAACACCCAGAGAUCAAAAUAGUCAAAAGGCACCAAACCAAAGAAAUCUAUGAACA
This is a non-coding RNA of Podarcis lilfordi (Lilford's wall lizard), 1741 nucleotides long. The record is from the annotation of a GenBank genome assembly. Lineage: Eukaryota; Metazoa; Chordata; Lepidosauria; Squamata; Lacertidae.